This 4356-nucleotide long non-coding RNA is filed under the name Oncorhynchus mykiss (rainbow trout). Its description in RNAcentral is "lncRNA (ENSOMYG00000054710.1)". The record is from RNAcentral. Lineage: Eukaryota; Metazoa; Chordata; Actinopteri; Salmoniformes; Salmonidae.
AUGUCUCUGUCUCUGUCUCUGACUGGGUGUCUGUCUCUGACUGGGUGUCUGACUGGGUGUCUGUCUGUGUCUCUGACCUGGUGUCUGUCAGUCAGACACCCAGUCAGAGACACAGACAGACACCCAAUCAGAGACACAGACAGACAGACACCCAGUCAGACAUCCCAGUCAGAGACACAGACAGACACCAGGUCAGAGACACAGACAUACACCCAGUCAGACACCCAGUCAGAGACAGACACCCAGUCAGAGACAGAGACAGAGAAAGACACCCAGUCAGAGAUACCGACAGACAGAGACAGACACCCAGUCAAAGACACAGACAGACAGACACCCAGUCAGACACCCAGUCAGAGACACAGACAGACAGACAGACAGUCAGAGACACCCAGUCAGAGAAACCAGGUCAGAGACACCCAGUCAGAGACACAGACAGACACCAGGUCAGAGACACAGACAGACACCCAGUCAGACACCCAGUCAGAGACAGACACCCAGUCAGAGACAGAGACAGAGACAGACACCCAGUCAGAGAUACCGACAGACAGAGAGAGACACCAGGUCAGAGACACAGACAGACAGACACCCAGUCAGAGACACAGACAGACAGACACCCAGUCAGAGACAGACAGACAGACAGACAGACAGACAGACAGACAGACAGACAGACAGACAAACAGAAAGACAGAGACAGCGACAGACACAGACAGACUGAGAGACAGAGACAGACAGAGAGACAGAGAGACAGACAGACACUCAGUCAGAGUCAGAGACAGAAACCCAGUCAGAGUCAGAGACAGACACCCAGUCAGAGUCAGAGUCAGAGACAGAGACAAAGACAGAGAGAGAGAGAGAGAGAGAGAGAGAGAGAGAGAGAGAGACAGAGACAGACAGGCAGGCAGGCAGACAGAAAGAGACAGAGACAGACACACAGACAGAGACAGACACACAGACAGACACUCAGACACACAGACAGACACACAGACAGAGACAGAGACAGACAGACAGACACCCAGUCAGACACCCAGUCAGAGACAGAGACAGAAAGACAUAGAGAGACACCCAGUCAGAGACAGACACCCAGUCAGAGACAGCAACACAGACAGACAGAGACAGAGACAGACAGACAGACAGACACCCAGUCAGACACCCAGUCAGAGACAGAGACAGAGACAGAAAGACAGAGAGAGACACCCAGUCAGAGACAGACACCCAGUCAGAGACAGACACCCAGUCAGCAAUACAGACAGACAGAGACAGAGACAGACACACCCAGUCAGAGAGACAGACAGACAGACAGACAGACAGACAGACAGACAGACAGACAGUCAGAGACAGAGACAGACACCCAGUCAGCAACACAGACAGACAGAGACAGAGACAGACACCCAGUCAGAGAGACAGACAGACAGACAGACUGACAGACAGACAGACAGACAGACAUACACCCAGUCAGUCAGAGACAGAGACAGACACCCAGUCAGUCAGAGACAGAGACAGACAGGCACCCAGUCAGUCAGAGACAGACACCCAGUCAGAGACAGAGACAGACAGACACCCAGUCAGAGACAGAGACAGACACCCAGUCAGACACCCAGUCAGAGAAAGAGACAGACAGACAGACACCCAUUCAGAGACAAGGAGAGACAGAGACACAGAGACACAGAGACACGGAGACACAUGGACACAGAGAGACAGAGAGACAGAGAGACAGAGAGACAGACAGACAGACAGACAGACAGAGACACAGACAGACACCCAGUCAGAGACAGAGACAGACAGACAGAGACAGACAGACAGACAUACACCCAGUCAGAGACACAGACAGACAGACUGACAGACAGACAGACAUACACCCAGUCAGUCAGAGACAGAGACAGACACCCAGUCAGAGAAAGAGACAGACAGACAGACACCCAUUCAGAGACACAGGGACACAGAGACACAGAGAGACAGAGACACAGACAGACAGACAGACAGACAGGCAGACAGACAGACAGAGAAAGAGACAGACACACAGUCAGCAAAACAGACAGGCAGAUACAGAGACAGACACCCAGUCAGAGACACAGACAGACAGACACCCAGUCAGAGACAGAGACAGACAGAGACAAACAGACAGAUACAGACACAGACAGACAAAGACAGACAGACACAGACAGACAGAUACAGACACAGACAGACAGAGACAGACACCCAGACAGAGACAAACAGACAGACAGAGACAGACAGAGACACACAGACAGACAGAGAGACAGAGACAGACAGAGAGACAGAGAGAGACAGACAGACAGACAUGCAGUCAGAGACACAGACAGACACCCAGUCAGAGACACAGACAGAGACAAACAGAGAGACAGACAGACAGACAGACAAUCAGACACCCAGUCAGAGAGAGAGACAGACACCCAGUCAGAGACACAGACAGACACCCAGUCAGAGACACAGACAGACACCCAGUCAGAGACACAGACAGACACACAGUCAGAGACACAGACAGACACACAGUCAGAGACACAGACAGACAGACAGUCAGAGACGCAGACAGACACCAGGUCAGAGACACAGACAGACACCCAGUCAGAGACACAGAUAGAAACCCAGUCAGACACCCAGUCAGAGACAGACACCCAGUCAGAGACACAGACAGACAGAGACAGACAGACACCCAGUCAGCGACACAGACAGACAGAGACAGAGACAGACACCCAGACAGACAGAGACAGACACGCAGUCAGAGACACAGACAGACACCGAGUCAGAGACACAGACAGACAGACAGACAGACACCCAGUCAGAGACACAGACAGACAGAGACAGACAGACACCCAGUCAGCGACACAGACAGACAGAGACAGAGACAAACACCCAGACAUACAGAGACAGACAGAGACAGACACGCAGUCAGAGACACAGACAGACACCCAGUCAGAGACACAGACAGAGACAAACAGAGAGACAGACAGACAGACAGACAGACAGUCAGACACCCAGUCAGAGAUAGAGACAGACACCCAGAUAGAGAGAGAGACAGACACCCAGUCAGAGACACAGACAGACACCCAGUCAGAGACCCAGUCAGAGAUAGAGACAGACACCCAGAUAGAGAGCGAGACAGACACCCAGUCAGAGACACAGACAGACACCCAGUCAGAGACACAGACAGACACCCAGUCAGAGACACAGACAGACACACAAUCAGAGACACAGACAGACACACAGUCAGAGACACAGACAGACAGACAGUCAGAGACGCAGACAGACAGACACACAGUCAGACACCCAGUCAGAGACACAGACAGACACCAGGUCAGAGACAUAGACAGACACCCAGUCAGAGACACAGAUAGACACCCAGUCAGACACCCAGUCAGAGACAGACACCCAGUCAGAGACACAGACAGACAGAGACAGACACCCAGACAGACAGAGAAAGACACGCAGUCAGAGACACAGACAGACACCGAGUCAGCGACACAGACAGACAGACAGACAGACAGACACCCAGUCAGAGACACAGACAGACAGAGACAGACAGAAAACCCAGUCAGCGACACAGACAGACAGAGACAGAGACAAACACCCAGACAUACAGAGACAGACAGAGACAGACACGCAGUCAGAGACAGAGACAGACACGCAGUCAGAGACACAGACAGACACCCAGUCAGAGACACAGACAGACACCAGGUCAGAGACACAGACAGACACCCAGUCAGACACCCAGUCAGAGACAGAGACAGACACCCAGAUAGAGACAGAGACAGACACACAGACACAGAGACAGACAGAGAGACAGACACACAGUCAGAGACAGACAGACAGACACCCAGUCAGAGACAGAGACAGACACCCAGUCAGAGACAGAGACAGACACCCAGUCAGAGACACAGACAGACAGACACCCAGUCAGAGACAGAGACAGACACCCAGUCAGAGACACAGGCAGAGACAGACAGACACACAGACAGACAGAUACAGACAGACAGAGACAGACACCCAGACAGACAGAGACAGACACCCAGACAGAGACACACAGACAGACAGAAACAGACAGAGACAGUCAGAGACACAGACAGAGACACAGACAGACACCCAGUCAGAGACAGAGACAGACACCCAGUCAGAGACACAGGCAGAGACAGACAGACACACAGACAGACAGAUACAGACAGACAGAGACAGACACCCAGACAGACAGAGACAGACACCCAGACAGAGACACACAGACAGACAGAAACAGACAGAGACAGUCAGAGACACAGACAGAGACACAGACAGACACCCAGUCAGAGACACAGAAAGCCACCCAGUCAGAGACACAGACAGACACCCAGUCAGAGACACAGACAGUGA